AGAUUGAACGCUGGCGGCAUGCCUUACACAUGCAAGUCGAACGGCAGCACGGGAGCAAUCCUGGUGGCGAGUGGCGAACGGGUGAGCAAUACAUCGGAACGUGCCCAAUCGUGGGGGAUAACGCAGCGAAAGCUGUGCUAAUACCGCAUAAGAUCUACGGAUGAAAGCAGGGGAUCGCAAGACCUUGCGCGAAUGGAGCGGCCGAUGGCAGAUUAGGUAGUUGGUGAGGUAAGGCUCACCAAGCCUUCGAUCUGUAGCUGGUCUGAGAGGACGACCAGCCACACUGGGACUGGAGACACGGCCCAG
RNAcentral lists this ribosomal RNA (306 nucleotides) under uncultured soil bacterium. Its description in RNAcentral is "bacterial SSU rRNA". It matches the Rfam family "Bacterial small subunit ribosomal RNA", at positions 26 to 334 of the family's 1533-position model. The record is from RNAcentral.